UCACGGAUAAGAUGAAGCUGGAGGAGCUGAAGAUCCCCAAGGACUAUGUGGUGCAGGUUAUAGUGAGCCAGCCUGUGCAAACCCCAACACCAGUGGAGAACUGAGCUGGACUUGCCUUCUUCCAAGAUCCCGUGGCUCCUUUUUAUUGUUACCAUUUCUUACUCUUAAGGCGUGAAAUUUAUUUUCACUGCUCUGAAUUCCCUAUGAAUGGAUUUAGUUCUGAGGAAUUACCAGUGAAAAAUUCCAUCUGUGAUGGAGACCAACAAAAAUAAUAAAACACACAGAGCCAGCCUCUGAUACUCUUAUAAUUACAAUUUCUAAUUUGAAAGACAGUUAAGAAAUAGAUAACCAUUUAUUUUAAAACAUUUAUCAACUGUGUAAUGGCUGUAUUUAAAUGAUCUCGAAUGUAAACAGACACCAGACCCAUCAAAAACAGCACCAAGCACCUUUUGGACACAGAAUUUUUAUGACAUACAUGUCAAAUUUUUUUUUUUCCAGAACCAUCAAUAACAGUUACAAAACCUAAUCUUUUUUUUCUUUUAAAGUGGAACCUAAAAGAGCAUAGAGUUUUGCUUCUCUUCUGGGUUUGUAGUCCUACCCACCAGGAGGCAGUGAGACUGGGAGUUGUCAGUGUUCCUUCCCCUCCCACCAAGUUCUGCUCCCUGUUGACAUGCACUCAGUCCUGUGGCCGUCAUGCUGGCAGCGGGCACCCUCUGGCGCCCUGAGCAGCACGUUAGUAAGUAGUUAGAGCUUGUAUUCUCAGUUGAGAAGUUUCUAGUCUUGCUUCAUAGUAAUCUUAACAUAUCUGUGGACCCAGGCUUGACAGCUAGCUACUAUGUGAUGUCUUUGCUGACCCUGAUGCUCUGCGUGACCAUUUCUGUAGCUUCCUGGCCCCGCCUAUAUAUUCCUGGGCCAGGCAAGACAGAAAUGGAGUAUAGCUGCUUCCAGUCCAGAAUGAAAAGCAAUCUUCUCCUUCCUGCCUGCAGGGAAUGUGAGUAAAACCCUCUCUGCCUGUUCCUGGGAAAACUGUGCCUAUUCUAAGCCUUGGAGAAAAUUCCAAUUCAAAAUGUUCGUGUGUGAUAGCUAACUAGUGUCAUUUAAACUGCAUUGGUGGGAACAGAUGGUAGCGCCUGGCUCAGACUGGAGUGCUUUCACUUAACUCUGACUCCAGUCACUGUGGUGGCAGGGUUCCUCCCACACCUUCCCAACAAAGGUGAAUUAACCUCCAUCUGCACACUGGGCUAAGGGACUGAACAUAGUAAAUCAGGCUCACCUUCUCUGGAGAAAGCUGCCAAGGGUUAUAUUUAAUCUGGAGCCUUUUAAAAGCUGUUUUUGCCAGGCAUGUUGUACCUGCCUUUAAUCCUGGGCCUUGAGAGGUAGAAAGAGGCAGAUCUCAGAAUUUGAGACCAGCCUGGAAUACACAGCUAGUUCUAGGCCAGCCAGAGCUACUUAGUGAGACUGUGUCUUAAAAAAAAAAGUUGGUUCCCUGAGAAGGGGACUAUCAUGUGACCACACUGUCUCUGAAAGUUUGUGAGAUGUGAACAGUAGAUGAAAGAAGGGUCUGUGCUUUUCUCAGUCAGGAAAUACCAAACCUCCUAUUCGGAUAUAAAAUGCCAUUCAUAAUUUUAGUGGCAGAAUGAAACCUCUAAGCAGUUUAAAAUGUAAUUUUUAAGUAUUAAAUUUCUUAUAGCCUGUUUAAAUAUAUCUAUAAUUAUAACUUACAUUUCUGAGAACUUUAACCAUUUCCCUAAUUCUGUUCAUCAUUUAGUUUGUGAUUGUAUCUAAUUUAGAUUUGGUGGUGACUGAUCUAAAUUCAGAAGUGCACACACAGCUUUAGCAACCAAGGAUGCCCACAUUUCCAUGUGGAGGCUCUAGGGUAUUCCAGUGCAUCUCCCUCCCACCAUCAAGAAGGUUGGUUCAUUUGUCAUAUUGAAUAACAGUAUCUCAAAGUCCGUCAGUUGGAAAAGUGGUUAAACCUAUUAUUUUUCUAAAGGAAAUUUGAUGGUGUCAUGAAUAACCUGAUUGUUAAAAGGUCUUGUUUCUUGAGGGUUUGUCCUAAGAGAUUUGUGGGGUCUUUUGGUUUUUGUUUGUUUGUUUGUUUGUUUAAAUUUUAAAGGAACAUAUACUUUGAAUAACAAUCCUCCAGGCAUGGUGAGAAAAAAACCUAGGUGCUGGAAAUUGUCAAUAGGUUAAUAACCUAGGUGAGAAAAAAACAUGGUGCUGGUAAUUGUCAAUAGGUCGAUGUAAGAUUGGAUCAAUACUUGAUGUGUAUCAUUUUAGUAUGUAGGGGUUUUGUGCUUUUU
Molecule: long non-coding RNA, 2303 nt
Filed under: Mus musculus (house mouse)
Lineage: Eukaryota; Metazoa; Chordata; Mammalia; Rodentia; Muridae
Description: long non-coding RNA chr11:32516383-32518686
Source: RNAcentral